RNAcentral lists this ribosomal RNA (253 nucleotides) under uncultured bacterium. RNAcentral describes it as "partial 16S ribosomal RNA". It matches the Rfam family "Bacterial small subunit ribosomal RNA", at positions 524 to 776 of the family's 1533-position model. The record is from RNAcentral.
UACGGAGGGCGCGAGCGUUGUCCGGAAUUACUGGGCGUAAAGGGCGCGUAGGCGGCCUGCUAAGUCGGAUGUGAAAUCCCUCGGCUCAACCGAGGAACUGCAUCCGAUACUGGCGGGCUUGAAUCCGGGAGAGGGAUGUGGAAUUCCAGGUGUAGCGGUGAAAUGCGUAGAUAUCUGGAGGAACACCGGUGGCGAAGGCGGCAUCCUGGACCGGUAUUGACGCUGAGGCGCGAAAGCUAGGGGAGCAAACGGG